GGAUUAGAUACCCUGGUAGUCCUGGCCGUAAACGAUGGGCACUAGGCAAUGGGUUUACCUAUGGAACUCAUUGCCGUAGCUAAUGUGUUAAGUGCCCCGCCUGGGGAGUACGCUCGCAAGGGUAAAACUCAAAGGAAUUGACGGGGGAUCACACAAGCGGUGGAGCAUGUGGUUUAAUUCGAAGCAACGCGAAGAACCUUACCUGGCCUUGACAUCUAGGGAUUAGUCCUGUGAAAGCAGGGUGACAGCUCUUCGGAGUCGGAAUCUAGACAGGUGUUGCAUGGCUGUCGUCAGCUCGUGUCG
RNAcentral lists this ribosomal RNA (303 nucleotides) under uncultured bacterium. RNAcentral describes it as "bacterial SSU rRNA". It matches the Rfam family "Bacterial small subunit ribosomal RNA", at positions 775 to 1067 of the family's 1533-position model. The record is from RNAcentral.